Molecule: non-coding RNA, 208 nt
Filed under: Clostridiales bacterium
Lineage: Bacteria; Bacillati; Bacillota; Clostridia; Eubacteriales
Description: T-box sequence
Rfam family: T-box leader
About the family: Uncharged tRNA acts as the effector for transcription antitermination of genes in the T-box leader family. T-boxes are found upstream of many aminoacyl-tRNA synthetase genes and some amino acid biosynthetic genes usually in Gram-positive bacteria. The anticodon of a specific tRNA base pairs to a specifier sequence within the T-box motif, and the NCCA acceptor tail of the tRNA base pairs to a conserved bulge in the T-box antiterminator hairpin.
Source: RNAcentral
GUAAAAGCUUUGACAGGAACAAGUAAGCUGCAGGUGGAUAUACAGAGAGCUGCCGGAUGGUGCGAGACAGCAGAAGCCUCAAGCUGAACUCAUCCUUGAGCUGGCAGGGACUUUAGGUUCAAUUUGCCCGGGUAAUCCGUUAUAAUGUUAAAGUGAACAGCAAAAAAGCUGUUAAUUAGAGUGGUACCGCGGACCUUUCGCCUCUAGA